CCUACGGGUGGCAGCAGUGAGGAAUAUUGGUCAAUGGGCGCAAGCCUGAACCAGCUAAGUCGCGUGAGGGAAGACUGCCCUAGGGGUUGUAAACCCCUUUUAUAAGGGAAGAAUAAUGACUACGUGUAGUCAGAUGCCCGUACCUUAUGAAUAAGCAUCGGCUAACUCCGUGCCAGUAGCCGCGGUAAUACGGAGGAUCCGAGCGUUAUCCGGAUUUAUUGGGUUUAAAGGGUGGGUAGGGGGUAUUUUAAGUUAGUGGGAAAACGGCGGGGAUAAACCUGGAAUGGCCAUUAAAACUGGAGUACUAGAGUGCAGACGAGGUAGGCGGAAUAAGUAAAGUAGCGGUGAAAUGCGUAGAUAUAACGAAGAACCCCGAUAGCGAAGGCAGCUUACCAGACUGUUACUGACGCUGAAGCACGAGAGCGUGGGUAGCGAACAGGAUUAGAUACCCCGGUAGUC
RNAcentral lists this ribosomal RNA (459 nucleotides) under uncultured bacterium. RNAcentral describes it as "partial 16S ribosomal RNA". It matches the Rfam family "Bacterial small subunit ribosomal RNA", at positions 338 to 795 of the family's 1533-position model. The record is from RNAcentral.